Molecule: non-coding RNA, 46 nt
Organism: Schistosoma rodhaini
Lineage: Eukaryota; Metazoa; Platyhelminthes; Trematoda; Strigeidida; Schistosomatidae
Source: Rfam
GCACUACUAAGGAGUCUCAUAAUAGGACGAAACGGUCGUCCAGUGC